AUUGAGCGCUGGCGGCAGGCUUAACACAUGCAAGUCGAGCGGGGUGAUGGUGCUUGCACUAUCACUUAGCGGCGGACGGGUGAGUAAUGCUUAGGAAUCUGCCUAUUAGUGGGGGACAACAUCUCGAAAGGGAUGCUAAUACCGCAUACGUCCUACGGGAGAAAGCAGGGGAUCACUUGUGACCUUGCGCUAAUAUAUGAGGCUAAGUCGGAUUAAAUAGUUGGUGGGGGAAAGGCCUACCAAGGCGACGAUCUGUAGCGGGUCUGAGAGGAUGAUCCGCCACACUGGGACUGAGACACGGCCCAGACUCCUACGGGAGGCAGCAGUGGGGAAUAUUGGACAAUGGGGGGAACCCUGAUCCAGCCAUGCCGCGUGUGUGAAGAAGGCCUUAUGGUUGUAAAGCACUUUAAGCGAGGAGGAGGCUCUUUUGGUUAAUACCCAAGAUGAGUGGACGUUACUCGCAGAAUAAGCACCGGCUAACUCUGUGCCAGCCGCCGCCGUAA
Molecule: ribosomal RNA, 503 nt
Filed under: uncultured bacterium
Lineage: Bacteria
Description: partial 16S ribosomal RNA
Rfam family: Bacterial small subunit ribosomal RNA
Source: RNAcentral